This 393-nucleotide ribosomal RNA is filed under the name uncultured Chrysophyceae. RNAcentral's name for it is "partial small subunit ribosomal RNA". It matches the Rfam family "Eukaryotic small subunit ribosomal RNA", at positions 30 to 432 of the family's 1831-position model. The record is from RNAcentral. Lineage: Eukaryota; Chrysophyceae.
GCUUGUCUCAAAGAUUAAGCCAUGCAUGUCUAAGUAUAAACAAAUCUAUACUGUGAAACUGCGAAUGGCUCAUUAUAUCAGUUAUAGUUUAUUUGAUGGUUCUUGCUACUUGGAUAACCGUAGUAAUUCUAGAGCUAAUACAUGCAUCAAACCCCGACUCACGAAGGGGUGUAUUUAUUAGAUGGAAACCAAUGCGGGGCAACCCGGAUUAUGGUGAUUCAUAAUAACUUUCAGAUCGAUCGCAAGAUCGAUGCAUCAUUCAAGUUUCUGCCCUAUCAGCUUUGGAUGGUAGGGUAUUGGCCUACCAUGGCUUUAACGGGUAACGGAGAAUUAGGGUUCGAUUCCGGAGAGGGAGCCUGAGAAACGGCUACCACAUCCAAGGAAGGCAGCAGG